RNAcentral lists this ribosomal RNA (397 nucleotides) under uncultured bacterium. Its description in RNAcentral is "partial 16S ribosomal RNA". It matches the Rfam family "Bacterial small subunit ribosomal RNA", at positions 523 to 918 of the family's 1533-position model. The record is from RNAcentral.
AUACGUAGGGGGCGAGCGUUGUCCGGAAUGAUUGGGCGUAAAGGGCGCGUAGGCGGCGCGGUAAGUCUGGAGUGAAAGUCCUGCUUUCAAGGUGGGAACUGCUUUUGAUACUGCCGCGCUUGAGUGCAGGAGAGGUUAUCGGAAUUCCCGGUGUAGCGGUGAAAUGCGUAGAGAUCGGGAAGAACACCAGUGGCGAAGGCGGGUAACUGGACUGCAACUGACGCUGAGGCGCGAAAGUGUGGGGAGCAAACAGGAUUAGAUACCCUGGUAGUCCACACUGUAAACGAUGAGUACUAGGUGUAGGGGGUAUCGACUCCCUCUGUGCCGCAGUUAACACAAUAAGUAUUCCGCCUGGGGAGUACGGCCGCAAGGUUGAAACUCAAAGGAAUUGACGGGG